This 475-nucleotide ribosomal RNA is filed under the name uncultured bacterium. RNAcentral describes it as "bacterial SSU rRNA". It matches the Rfam family "Bacterial small subunit ribosomal RNA", at positions 373 to 848 of the family's 1533-position model. The record is from RNAcentral.
GGGCGAAAGCCUGAACCAGCCAUGCCGCGUGCAGGAAGACGGCCCUACGGGUUGUAAACUGCUUUUGCAGGGGAAUAAACCCCGGUACGUGUACCGGGCUGAAUGUACUCUGAGAAUAAGGAUCGGCUAACUCCGUGCCAGCAGCCGCGGUAAUACGGAGGAUCCAAGCGUUAUCCGGAUUUAUUGGGUUUAAAGGGUGCGUAGGCGGCCUAUUAAGUCAGGGGUGAAAGACGGUAGCUUAACUAUCGCAGUGCCUUUGAUACUGAUGGGCUUGAAUACACUAGAGGUAGGCGGAAUGUGACAAGUAGCGGUGAAAUGCAUAGAUAUGUCACAGAACACCAAUUGCGAAGGCAGCUUACUAUGGUGUGAUUGACGCUGAGGCACGAAAGCGUGGGGAUCAAACAGGAUUAGAUACCCUGGUAGUCCACGCCCUAAACGAUGAACACUCGAUGUUAGCGAUAUACAGUUAGCGUCU